Molecule: non-coding RNA, 276 nt
Organism: Synergistes sp. 3_1_syn1
Lineage: Bacteria; Thermotogati; Synergistota; Synergistia; Synergistales; Synergistaceae
Source: Rfam
GCAAAUGCAAUGACUGGAAAGAAGUAGGUCUGCCGGAUGUCCUACAGAGAGCCGCCGGACGGUGCGAGGCGGUGGACGGGCGAACCGAAAUACAUUCCAAGAGCAGCACACCAAAAGGGAUGGCACGCUUCCAUCCGCGAGUAGGCUGUGACGGGUCCGCCCGUGACCGCGGACAGGGUAUACUACAUUUUUUUGUACAGUACCCGACGAGGACGUAUUUCGUGAGAAUACGUCAAACUGAGGUGGUACCACGGGUGAUCAUUCCCCGUCCUCUGG